CCUACGGGUGGCAGCCGUGAGGAAUAUUGGUCAAUGGGAGAGAUCCUGAACCAGCCAAGCCGCGUGAGGGAAGACGGUCUUCGGAUCGUAAACCUCUGUCAGCAGGGAAGAACGGUCACUGUGCUAAUCAGCAGUGAAUUGACGGUACCUGCAAAGGAAGCACCGGCUAACUCCGUGCCAGCAGCCGCGGUAAUACGGAGGAUCCGAGAGUUAUCCGGAUUUAUUGGGUUUAAAGGGUGCGUAGGCGGCCUUUUAAGUCAGCGGUGAAAGUCUGGGGCUCAACCAUAGAAUUGCCGUUGAAACUGGGGGGCUUGAGGAUGUUUGAGGCAGGCGGAAUGCGUGGUGUAGCGGUGAAAUGCUUAGAUAUCACGCAGAACCCCGAUUGCGAAGGCAGCCUGCCAAGCCAUGACUGACGCUGAUGCACGAAAGCGUGGGGAUCAAACAGGAUUAGAUACCCCUGUAGUC
Molecule: ribosomal RNA, 465 nt
Filed under: uncultured bacterium
Lineage: Bacteria
Description: partial 16S ribosomal RNA
Rfam family: Bacterial small subunit ribosomal RNA
Source: RNAcentral